GAUGUCUACAGGUAAAAUCUGAUUUAUUUAUUUUUUUUAAAAGUGAUUUUAUGCUGGUUUUCAGCGCAUUUAGGAACACCCACUUUUUGGAGCUAAAAGUGACGUCACCGACAGAGGACCAAAGAGUUUGAAGGAAUGUUCAAAGAUGGCUGCCAGACGGGUUGUUGCAAGUUGUAGCAAUGCAACUAAAGAAGGGGACAGCCGGCAUUAAUUUCCAAAUGAUGGCAACAUGAGGAAGGAGCAUCCUCGAGGGGCGAAAGACUGAGUCAGAACCUGCGGAAAAACGGAGAUAGAGCAAACAAGAGAAAGAAAAGGUAAACCACUGGUGUUGUAUUU
Long non-coding RNA from Entelurus aequoreus (snake pipefish), 336 nucleotides. RefSeq lists it as uncharacterized. The transcript is spliced from 3 exons. Lineage: Eukaryota; Metazoa; Chordata; Actinopteri; Syngnathiformes; Syngnathidae. The record is from RefSeq and is a predicted model, not a curated record.